UACGAGGGGGGCAAAUGUUGUUCGGAAUCACUGGGCGUAAAGGGUGCGUAGGCGGGUUUCUAAGUCAGGUGUUUAAUCCCGGGGCCCAACCCCGGACAGGCACUUGAAACUGGGAAUCUUGAAUAGUGGAGAGGUCAGUGGAAUUGGGGGUGUAGCGGUGGAAUGCGUAGAGAUCCCCAAGAACACCAGUUGCGAAGGCGGCUGACUGGACACAUAUUGACGCUGAGGCUCGAAAGCAUGGGGAGCAAACAGG
This 253-nucleotide ribosomal RNA is filed under the name uncultured bacterium. Its description in RNAcentral is "partial 16S ribosomal RNA". It matches the Rfam family "Bacterial small subunit ribosomal RNA", at positions 524 to 776 of the family's 1533-position model. The record is from RNAcentral.